GUAGUAUUCCCUUCGUCCCAAAAUUCUUGUCUUACAUUUGUUUAGAUACGGAUGUAUCCAACACUAAAAUGUAACUAUAUACAUCCGUAUUUAGAGAAAUUUAAGACAAGAGCUUUGGGACAGAGGGAGUACAAA
Non-coding RNA from Triticum aestivum (bread wheat), 135 nucleotides. NCBI's taxonomy places the organism in Eukaryota, Viridiplantae, Streptophyta, Magnoliopsida, Poales, Poaceae. The record is from Rfam.